RNAcentral lists this ribosomal RNA (583 nucleotides) under uncultured bacterium. RNAcentral's name for it is "partial 16S ribosomal RNA". It matches the Rfam family "Bacterial small subunit ribosomal RNA", at positions 355 to 1375 of the family's 1533-position model. The record is from RNAcentral.
UGGGGAAUUUUGGACAAUGGGCGAAAGCCUGAUCCAGCAAUGCCGCGUGUGUGAAGAAGGCCUUCGGGUUGUAAAGCACUUUUGUCCGGAAAGAAAUCCUUGGCUCUAAUACAGUCGGGGGAUGACGGUACCGGAAGAAUAAGCACCGGCUAACUACGUGCCAGCAGCCGCGGUAAUACGUAGGGUGCAAGCGUUAAUCGGAAUUACUGGGCGUAAAGCGUGCGCAGGCGGUUUGCUAAGACCGAUGUGAAAUCCCCGGGCUCAACCUAGGAACUGCAUUGGUGACUGGCAGGCUAGAGUAUGGCAGAGGGGGGUAGAAUUCCACGUGUAGCAGUGAAAUGCGUAGAGAUGUGGAGGAAUACCGAUGGCGAAGGCAGCCCCCUGGCCAAUACUGACGCUCAUGCACGAAAGCGUGGGAGCAAACAGGAUUAGAUACCCUGGUAGUCCACGCCCUAAACGAUGUCAACUAGUUGUUGGGGAUUCAUUUCCUUAGUAACGUAGCUAACGCGUGAAGUUGACCGCCUGGGGAGUACGGUCGCAAGAUUAAAACUCAAAGGAAUUGACGGGGUCAUAGCUGUUUCCU